This 206-nucleotide unclassified non-coding RNA is filed under the name Hevea brasiliensis (rubber tree). Lineage: Eukaryota; Viridiplantae; Streptophyta; Magnoliopsida; Malpighiales; Euphorbiaceae. The record is from RNAcentral.
GCAAUCGCCCUUGAGAUAAUCUGAUGCUUCCAAGGAUGUUCUUCUGUAAAAUCGCUUGUAGCCCCACAUGCUCCCACGAUACUUGAGCGUAUAUGGCCCGCCCUCCAGCGCCCUAUCAAAAUGGCUAUGAACCUUGUGCUUCUCCUUCCCACUCUGAUCCACCAGAGUAAGCUCAAACAGCGCCCGCACAUCAGUCCCCUCGCUCG